This 72-nucleotide transfer RNA is filed under the name Fibrobacterales bacterium. Its description in RNAcentral is "tRNA-Asn". It matches the Rfam family "tRNA". Rfam says of the family: Transfer RNA (tRNA) molecules are approximately 80 nucleotides in length. Their secondary structure includes four short double-helical elements and three loops (D, anti-codon, and T loops). Further hydrogen bonds mediate the characteristic L-shaped molecular structure. tRNAs have two regions of fundamental functional importance: the anti-codon, which is responsible for specific mRNA codon recognition, and the 3' end, to which the tRNAs corresponding amino acid is attached (by aminoacyl-tRNA synthetases). tRNAs cope with the degeneracy of the genetic code in two manners: having more than one tRNA (with a specific anti-codon) for a particular amino acid; and 'wobble' base-pairing, i.e. permitting non-standard base-pairing at the 3rd anti-codon position. The record is from RNAcentral. RNAcentral also lists the same sequence under 1 other name. Lineage: Bacteria; Pseudomonadati; Fibrobacterota; Fibrobacteria; Fibrobacterales.
UGCUUCAUAGCUCAAUGGUAGAGCAAUCGGCUGUUAACCGAUUGGUUCCAGGUUCGAGUCCUGGUGAAGCAG